RNAcentral lists this transfer RNA (76 nucleotides) under Rhodococcoides kroppenstedtii. RNAcentral's name for it is "tRNA-Pro". It matches the Rfam family "tRNA". From Rfam's summary of the family: Transfer RNA (tRNA) molecules are approximately 80 nucleotides in length. Their secondary structure includes four short double-helical elements and three loops (D, anti-codon, and T loops). Lineage: Bacteria; Bacillati; Actinomycetota; Actinomycetes; Mycobacteriales; Nocardiaceae. RNAcentral also lists the same sequence under 1 other name. The record is from RNAcentral.
CGGGAUGUGGCGCAGCUUGGUAGCGCAUCCGCUUUGGGAGCGGAGGGUCGCAGGUUCGAAUCCUGUCAUCCCGACC